Molecule: long non-coding RNA, 17529 nt
Filed under: Musa acuminata (dwarf banana)
Lineage: Eukaryota; Viridiplantae; Streptophyta; Magnoliopsida; Zingiberales; Musaceae
Description: long non-coding RNA (MACU_LNC009994)
Source: RNAcentral
AGCUUGCCUACCUCGACUCUAUCAACUAACAAAUACUGAUGAAACAGGAAAGGAAGACCACCUCUCUUAUCUUGUACUAAACUACUGGCUCCCCUUUCUUGACUUCCCCGCUUCAAAGCCAGUACUUGACUCUGCAACUUACAAUAAGGGCCACUUACUAAAAGGGUUGGACUUCAACAAGCCUACCAAGGCCUACCAAGUAUGUAAGUAAGUAAACAAAGUAAGUCAACCUGCCUAACUAGUAUAGGAAUGACACAAGCCUAACCUGCCCUCGUAAGUGAAAUAAUUUGAAAAACAUUAAUAUAACGGAUAAACGACUGGAAUUGGCUUCUCUACCGACUCAGUACACAAACAGUAGAUUUCAAUAGGACUUGGUUAUCCAUCUCAUCAUACUCCGGUAUUGUAUUUCAUAUAACAACUAUCAAUCUUAUCCGCGUUGUCUUACCCGUUUAGAGCUACAGCACCAACAGCAGGAUUACACUGCCAGUACUAUACCUCGCCUCGCUUCAAAGGCAUUCCAUCUGGUCGAUAAAAAGAUUCAACAAGAGAGCAGGUACCUCUCAUCUACCUCGGGCUACUGGCAACUCCUAUAUCUAUCCUAUAGCUCUGGCAACUGGUAACAUCUCUUUCUUCUGAUCCUAAGUAUCCACUUGUUUGUAGGCUAUGCUUGCUUCCUUGAGAACUUGAACAUUCCCACUUUCAUUCUUUCUUUUAUAAGUGAUGAAACUCGUUGUGCCAACUCAAUAAUUUGCAUUUCCUCUUUCUUGAUAUGAGUAUCUAAGGUGGUGGGAUAGCACUUUUCAACAACUCCCUUCCCUUAUGCUAAAGUAAAGUCAAGAUGAUAGGCGUCAAAGCAUUAGAGGAACAUUUCGCUACUUCAAGAAGUUGAGUUACCUGGGCAACAGGGAAAUACUGAAGAUAUAAUAAGAGACAUACAUACUUCAUUUAGUAGAGAAAUAGCCUGGGCCAGAGCUAAACAAAUCCAUCUUUUUUAUCGGUCUAUUAGCGAAAAUUCCCUUGUCUCUCUCUUCUCUGGCGGAUUCUAAUAAGGGGUGCAAUUCUGCCUUUCGGUCUGUUACUACUUAGUUCCAUUCUUAGACCUAAUAAGUAGUCUGCUCCUCUUCAUUAUAUGCAAUGGUUUAUGUUCUUUGACCUAUAUCCUAUACUAAAACUCUGGCUCAGUCAACUAAGAAAGUUAGGGCUCAUCCACCGGAGUCAACUAAUGACAUUCGAAAUCAUUCCAACGAGUAGAAUUCUUAGCCUUAUACUGACUAGUGGAAUUCUGCACUCACUGUCAACUACCCCCUUUUCCCUUUAGCACUGGUUAUUGCCCAACUUACUAGAAGGGCCUAUACUGUUACGGAUUAUAAUAAGGGGUUCCAUUCUGGAAUUCAUAUACUAGAGCAUCUGGCAACCUUACUAAGUAGGGGCUUGAACCACUAACAACAAGAAUGAAGGGUCGCACUAAGGAAUCAGAGAAGAAUAAGUAGGAGUAGCUCCAUUCUUAGGUUAACUAGCUCAAUUCUAUCCCUUAGCAGCCCCGAACACAGGAUUAGAUGCACCGGUUGUAGCCUUAGCAACAGUAGUGUGAGACCUUAGCUACCCAGCAACAACAUAGAUGCAUUAUAACUCGUUAGAACCAAGUCCUGAUUAAACCCUUCCUAACAAGUACAGUGGUUAGUACUUUCAAAUGCUCUAGACUUUUCUGAUUUAUUUGUGAUUUGUGAUUUGAUGGUUUCUUUAGACCUACUCUUUCCUCUGAUCUUGCUCCCGAACAAUUCUAUUUCUGUGGACAGGCCGGAUUGGGGCAUAAAAUGAACUGGAGCUGCACUAAAUUAGUUGGAUAGCAAAUAUUACAUUGAAAACCUGCUUAGGGGCAAAAAAGUCAUUUAUUACUAGAUUCUUGAGGGUUCCCUUGGCCCUGUUUCAGCCAACAAGCAACUACUAAUGUUGUGCGUUAGUCCGGCUACGGUUUCUUUAAUAAUAACAGAUAGUUUCUUUAAUAAUAACAUCCAUUUUGAUACGAAAGAAGGUAGAAAGGAAAUGGUAUAAUAUAUAUAGGACUCUGGAAUAACGAGUGUAAUCUAGUUUCUUUAAUAAGAAGAGAGAUUGGGAGUCCAAAUGAACCGCCAAGACACUACUAAUGUGUCGCGGCAGCCGGAAUAACGGCCAAGGCACGACUACUGUGCCGCGGCAGCAACGAAUAACGAGUCUUACGAGUUAUGAGCAAGUCCAGUAUCUUAGAGUUAUGACCAAGUCCUGUUUACGNNNNNNNNNNNNNNNNNNNNNNNNNNNNNNNNNNNNNNNNNNNNNNNNNNNNNNNNNNNNNNNNNNNNNNNNNNNNNNNNNNNNNNNNNNNNNNNNNNNNNNNNNNNNNNNNNNNNNNNNNNNNNNNNNNNNNNNNNNNNNNNNNNNNNNNNNNNNNNNNNNNNNNNNNNNNNNNNNNNNNNNNNNNNNNNNNNNNNNNNNNNNNNNNNNNNNNNNNNNNNNNNNNNNNNNNNNNNNNNNNNNNNNNNNNNNNNNNNNNNNNNNNNNNNNNNNNNNNNNNNNNNNNNNNNNNNNNNNNNNNNNNNNNNNNNNNNNNNNNNNNNNNNNNNNNNNNNNNNNNNNNNNNNNNNNNNNNNNNNNNNNNNNNNNNNNNNNNNNNNNNNNNNNNNNNNNNNNNNNNNNNNNNNNNNNNNNNNNNNNNNNNNNNNNNNNNNNNNNNNNNNNNNNNNNNNNNNNNNNNNNNNNNNNNNNNNNNNNNNNNNNNNNNNNNNNNNNNNNNNNNNNNNNNNNNNNNNNNNNNNNNNNNNNNNNNNNNNNNNNNNNNNNNNNNNNNNNNNNNNNNNNNNNNNNNNNNNNNNNNNNNNNNNNNNNNNNNNNNNNNNNNNNNNNNNNNNNNNNNNNNNNNNNNNNNNNNNNNNNNNNNNNNNNNNNNNNNNNNNNNNNNNNNNNNNNNNNNNNNNNNNNNNNNNNNNNNNNNNNNNNNNNNNNNNNNNNNNNNNNNNNNNNNNNNNNNNNNNNNNNNNNNNNNNNNNNNNNNNNNNNNNNNNNNNNNNNNNNNNNNNNNNACCUUCCAUUCUAUCUGAUUAUAGUGAUUAGUUUUGAUUUGUUUAUUAUGUGUUUAGCGUCGGCUCGUUCCUUUCUGAUAGUGGUAUAAUGGUACAAAGCAUUCUUCCCUCGUUCCUUUCCUCACCCCUAACGUUACUAGUUUUACUACUUUUUCUUAUUCUUAUGGGUCUCAAGCAUUCUCCCUUUUUGGAUACGAAAUCUAUGCUACUAUAAACACUUAUUUCCAUCCCGCAAUCCAUCCUACUAUCAAACACUUAUUUCCAUCCAUCUCUAAUCUCUAUCGCUUGCUCCAAUCUAAAUCGUUAUAUCUUUCUCGUUAUCAAACACGGAUUUCCAUCCUUGCUCUAAUUUCGCUCUAAUCCCAAUAAUAGGAAAACAUCUCCCUUAAUUCCGUUCUAUCUAUAUCAUUAUCAAACACUUUAUUUGCAUCCAUCUCUAAUUUCAAUAAUAGGAAAACAGCUCCCUUAACCCCAUACUUCUAAGCAACACUUCUAAGCAAAAGAAAGCCGCUUCCAUGCAUGCUCCUACAUAGUGGUCGCUACGGGUCCAAUGAGAAAGUGUUUUCUGUCAAAUUCCUUUUAGGGUAAGCCGCCCUAUCAAACCCCAAUAAAUGCCUUUCCUCGUUAGGUUGGGCUGGAAUAACAAAAUCAGUAUCGCUUCCAUGGUUGUCCAUAAGGUGACGUUAACAAAAGGUAACGGCAAUCUCCGAAAAUACUUGCUUCUUACGCUUUCCAGAGCAGAGGAGACUGCUGAAAGGAAAAAGGUGGAUAAAGGAGUCAUUCUCAAAAGAAUAAAUGAAGGGUUCCAAAGACUCGAAGUUUCCACUAUUAUUGUCGCUCAUGGGGAAGACACCUCAAAAGGAGCCUAUUUUCAAGCUGGAAUUCUUUUAAAGAUAGGUGUACAAAGAAGAAGUACGCCCAGGACUUUCAGAAGGAUCUUCCCUGAAUUUAAGGGGGGGCAGCUCGAUCUUAAAUACUUUAAGGCUUGGGCUUCGCUGUGCAAAUAUCUCCUCGAUGCUGUAAAGGAAGAUCCCGCGCCACUGGUGUGGGGCAAUCAGUCUCUGCAGCAAAUCAAAGAUAUGGCUUUAGCACAAACUCGGCAUAAAUUAAUUCCACUUCCGGGUGCUAAGGAGAUAAGGCCUAGAAGCAGAGAAGUGAUCCACAAAUUAGGAUCAAUUGACGAGUGGGACCAAGUGUAUAAAGUCAAUGAAAUCUCUGAUGCGCUUCUUUUUUCUUACAACAAUGUCCGGUCUAUGUAUGAGGAUUUGCAAGUACAAAAAACACUCUACGGGGGUGCGCUUCAUGAUAGGCUCGCCAAGUACUUGGAGGAAAGGGGUUGGCCCGAAGAAUAUUCCUACGCGGAGAUUCUCGAAAAGUACAUCUUUCUGGAUUGGUUAUCAGUGAAUUUUCUAUUUAACAGGCCAAUAAAGACAAAGCAGCUCUUAUUAUAUGGUCGGCCCAGUACUCAAAAAACAUUAUGCCUUGAAAUGUUGGGCGAAGUCUUGAAUAUCUACCAUGCGAGUGCCCGUAAGAAUGACUUUACCGGCGCUCACGACAACUACGAUCUUUGGGUUUUGGAUGAGUUUAACAUAACGGAAGACAGGAACACAGCAUUGUAUUUGAGGCAAGAAACAAUGGCUGCGGAGAAUAAUACACUGCUUCGAGUUUUAGAUGGGCAAAAGUGUCGGUUAGAUUCAAAGUAUGGCAAAAUUAUUUAUAAAAAAAAGAAUGUUACAGUAAUAACCAUCAUGAAUUCGCCGCCACUAAGCAUCCGCGUACGAGGUCCUUUUCAUGAGCGAUUUAUGCGCUUAAGAUUCGAUUCUAACAUUCCUAACCUGCAAAGCGAAAGACUCAUAGCCACCCUAUAUGGAUGUAUGUUACGUAGGCUCCGUCAGAAAAAUACAACAUGGGAAAUGGCAAAGAAAAUAGAUCUUAAAUACAAUGAAGCGCAAGGCGAAAUGGAGUUCCAAGUACCAGCAGAUAGAUUAACACAGCAACAACUAAAGCGUGGCGAGGCAAUCAGAGAAUCAAUUGAAGGGCUCCUGUCAACUGGUGAUAAAGCAGCGCUACUGGUCAAUAAAAGCAAUGGUGAUGGGGUUUAUACUGCUAUGGUGGCUGUAGAGACUCGGUAUCCAUAUGAUUUUCACAAACGCGGCGAAUAUAUCCAUCUUGCAGCACAAAUGCUAUACUAUGAGAUAUAUAACGUAGAAGUCGAUAGGGCGCCUGCCCCCGUUAAUCAAGGGGAAAGCUUCUCCUUACUUGAAUUUGCUUUUGUGCCACUCAGAAAGCUAGAGGAAGAUUGUCAAAAUAGGAAGAUAGUCCACAGCCAAAACAUCGAAUGGAAGAUACAAAAUACAUAUCGACGGCAAUGGCGGCCACUUUCCGUGGGGAUACUAAGCAAAGAGGCGCCCGUACAUAAUCUUCAGUGGUUAACCGUAGCAGAGGAGCGAGAAAGACACAAAAGAGAAUUCCGUAAAGAAGACAUAGCCUACUUUGCUGCCUGGCCACUUCAGGCAUAUUGUAAAGGCUUUUCAACAUCCAAUGGAAUGAGAAUGACCUAUAUAAACAGUUUAUUCUGGGAUGAAUUCUGGAUAAAGGAACCCUUCUUUAGAAAAGGUCAAACAUAUCUUGUUGAGGAGCAGGACGACCAACCAUGCAACGCAGAAGACAAAGGCUACGAGUUUUCAGGGGGAAGCUCGCCGGUGCCUCGAGAAAACAACGAGGAGGAGAGCAAUGAGAAAGUUGAUAAGCCCAUACGCGGAACCAUAAGGCAAACCGUUGAGGUCACCUUUAAGGUCGCCGGAGGAACUAUCAGACAACGAGAACAGGAGGAAGGGGAGGAUGAACCUCGGACUUCAGAAAUAUGGGAGCCUGAAGAUGCCUAAGGAACACAAAUAGGAUCAAAUUCGUAUAUUCGUAUAUUUGUGGUGCGGGGGCUAUGGCGUUUACUAUUGACUUCUUGGCGAGGACAGCUAGCUUCGGUUAUUUACUUCUUUGGUGGGGCAGUUAGCCUUUCUCUUUACUUCAAAGGGAGUGAAUAGUAUGGGUUCGUUCGUUUCUUUACUUCACAGGCAGUGCUGGUUUUCAAUAAGUCAUCUCUGUGCGACAGGAAGUUCUUUUGACUUCGAGUGCUGUCACCUAGGAUUGGGCUACGCUUGUUUAUAGAUGAGAGAAAAGGAAGGAAAUCCGCUACGUAAGAUGGUGUUGGUACACAUUCCACGGAUCCUACUAUUGACAGACCAGAUUCAUUUCUAGGGGUUCGAGGCAAGUAUCAUGCUAACAUUUCCUAUUAUACGGGUUCUCGAGAUUAUAAAUCAUAUUCCAUUCGAGUAUAGGGUUUUGCUUGGGGUUAACAAAAGAUAUUUCUUCUUAUCCCAUGCCCAGAAAAGAGAUAGAAGAUAGGCUGUCAAUAUAGCAGUCAGGUUCUAUUAUUUACCCUCACUCGGGUCUUUCACUAUUCCAGUCUUUCCAGUUGGGGUAGAAUCCCUCAGUAUAGGGAAGUCUAGGUCCCUUCAUAAUUGCAUAAAAAGUAGCUAGGGAAGUUAUUCUUAUUGGGCCAAGCAACUAAGUAAGACGUUGUGAGGUGAGCUACUGGUAUUGGUAGUAAUUCCCCGAUGCUAGGGUAUUUGUGGAAUUCCUAUACGAGGCUAGGGUAUUGGAAGAAAAGAAAAGCGUCUGUCCUAGAAGAAGGAAUCAAAUCCCCUAUAGGUCCAGGUCGAAGGCUCUCUCUCUCAGAAGGGUGGCGAAGGAAAGAGCCAUAGACUCUCUUAGCAAUAUAAGUUCACUGAUUAUGAGACAAGAUAUAUGGUUUUAGAAAAGACCUGCUGUGCUCUUACAUGGGCCUCGCAACGUCUACGCCACUAAAUGUUUCACUAUGCGACCGCAAGGAUGGACGGACCGGACCCGCUUCAGUCUCUCUUUGAAAAGCCAGCCUCGGUGAAAUCCUUAGCCCCAAGAACAGGAAUAACAGCAGGAAAGAGAUUCCAAAAAAGAGAAAAGAGCUGCCUGCCAGAAUAGGCUGCUAGAAUCGAAUAGGUUGUUAAGGAAGGAAGCAAGAACUAAGCUUCGUCCCUCGGAGUCUGCUACUUCGAUCACGUAAAGAAGACCUUCGGCUCGGCAAUAUGGAACUUAGAAACUGCUCCCGUUCCUUUAUGAGGAUCAAAUAGACCCGAGCCUUUCGCCUCCCCCCUUCCCUUAUGAAAUGAAGUAGAAAGUAUGAACUUAGUAGUCGGCAUUCUAUAAGCUACUUGUCGAGUCGACUUCGCUUUGCUUCUUGUAGUCGGCCCUUAAUGCCUCCCUUCAUUUGCUUGCCUCCUUCCAGCUCAGAAUGCUUGGCCUCCUGCGCCAAGUCGAUUUAUGAGGCUUCCCUGAAGCUUAGCUUCUACGACGAGUCGCUUCUAUCCUUCUCGACUCUAGAUGGCGGAGAAAGAAAGAAUACGGGUGAGCUUACGCUUACUCUCUGCCUCUGGGAUUGGUAGGCGGGCGGCCCCCUACGACUUUGGAUUCUAUUAAGAAGGUACUUGUCGUGACGCUUUGGUUAGGUCGACUACUAUACUCUGGACUUAUAGCUUCGAGAGUGGCCCUGUUGCUUUGGUGUAGUUGUAGUUUGUAUUGGUACUGAAUGAACAUAUCAAACAAAGGCUAGCAGUAUAAGCCCUUCUUCCUUUGGCCUGGGAAAAGCAGCGAACUCUAGAAGCAAGGAAAGGAGCUUUUUUUGACCUUUGGACACGAACACUAUUCCGUUCUAAGCGGAAACCAGCCGGAGUUCGUCGACUUAUCUUAUUGCUCGAGUUCGUCGACUUAUCUUAUUGCUCAGACUGCGCUGAUAGCUUGUAGUGAACUCCCUUAUGAAACCAACCGAAAGCUGCCUAUUCAGAAAAAGGCUAAGUGGCCCCCUAGUGAUUGCAAGAGAAGAGAGAGUGCGCUGUUGAUGAUAUACAUUGCAUAACCAUACUCAAGCAUAGUGAAAGUCAACUCCAUUGUUGGAAGCAAGACCCAUUAUGCCAACUCUAAAGCUAGCUCCUUACUCUCGGGGAGAGGCAAGAUCAGAGAAUACCUUCCCUAAUAUAAGAAUAAUAGACUGCUGACUGCUCGGCGAUUUAGAGGAGAUAAUACCCGAUACUGAAAGACAGAAGCAAACGGAUCCACUCGCUAAACUCACUAGUUGGUAGUUAUCAUAGGCACUCGCAAGCAAUCGAUAUCGAAAAACGAACUUGUCCACAACAACGAAAAAGAGUAUUUGUAUUCUCCCCUCUUCCGGCACUCCUGUAACCUGCUCAUUCCAAUUUGCAAGCCAUCGUAACUGACGCUGGAAAGCACGCGAAAGAAGCAGCCGAAUAAGCCAAAAAACAAACCCUUAGGAUUCGCCUGAUAGGUCUUGCUUUAAUCAGUAGGGGCCUCGUACCAUGCUUCGUUCCCCUUUCUAGGAAUUCUCCUAUUUACCCUUUCUAGGAAUUCUCCUAUCAUAAGGAGGACGCGUCGAAAGAUUGCUUUUAUGUGGUUGGGGGUUGGUUGUUGUGAAAACUCACUCUAAGAUCACCUAGCCGAUCCCUAAUAGCCCUUUGGAUUGAUUUCAACCGAUCUGCUUUCCAUAUUGAUUGCGCGCGGGUCUACGAGACAUGGGACGUCAGGGCAACUAACACUCAGGCUUCAGUUAAGGCGAGGCCCGGACGUGAUGGAAGCAUCUGGUAUGUAGAAUGUACAAGAGUAAGAGGAUGAGGCCUUCGGGUAUUCUUUGAAACCGAACGGCAGCCUCACUUCAUUCAUGCAUGGGCCGAAAGCAAACCAAUGCCUUUCCUUUAGUGGUCGCGCAGUUGGACAUAAGAGUCUAAUUAGUUCUUUCUUUCUUUCAUCUUUCUUUUCCAUAAUUCUUUCUUUCUUUCAUCUUUCUUUUCCAUAAUUCUUUCAUUAUAUUACGGAUCAUGUAAACGGAGACCUUUCGAAGGUUCCCUAGAUCUUAUCCAACUAGAUCUUAUCCAACCAGGAUCUCGGUGUUCAGAUCAAUGUCAUCUAGGGUUGGUUCGAUCAGUGGUUGCUGGGGUAAUCUUACCUGGAGCAGAUCGUAGGGAGACACGAGACGGAAAGUUCCUUAGGGUCGACUAAAAGGAGAGGAACAUGAUAGACUCGACCGAGCUUCUCCUCUUUAUUAUUGAUUGAUGGCUCCUGAGCGCUGUUCGUAGGAAAGCUCCGAGUAAGAAGCCCUUCCAUCUCUAGCUGAUCUGGCGCUCACGUGACCGACUGUGAGAGAUCUGUAACUUCCAGAGGGUUAUGAGAGCGAGCUUUUGCCCUAUUGAGAAAAGGUAAUGAGCUCUGUUAUGAGUGAGUGGGCUUUCUUUCGUUGAUCAGGAACUUAACCCAUUCCUUCGUAUCGCUCCCCCUUACUGCCACUUUUUCGCUUAUUCAUUAGGGCUCUGUGACUCGAGUAACAAGAGCUCCACGCUAGAGCACAAAAGAACGGCAUCUCUCUAUCGGAUUGCCCUGGUAUCCCAUUGGCUUACCCCGACGGUCGUUCUGAUAGACUUGCUCGCGUUAUUUGGCUUCUCUGUCCCUGGAACAAGAUAUCCUCUCUUUAUUGAAUCUAAAUCUAGGAAAUACCUCUGGGAAUUUAUUAAUCUAAAUCUAGGAAAUACCUCUGGGAAUUGAUCGCUGUAAAAGGCAAUAGGUCUACCUUCUUAUUGGCAAAGCACCACUCCAAUGCCUAGUGAGCACUUCGAAUACCUUUGAUAAAUCGGGUAAAGCACAUACUGCCACUUCUUGGAAAAGCCUACUUUGCUUUAGCAGGCGAGCGGAGUCAAGCGUUAGCUUCCCUAGAAAGGAGUUGGUGAUUGACUUUCUGAUUCUGAUUCAUUUGCUGGAUCGGGAAAACUCUCCUGCCGCACUUUUCGCUCACUUUAGCUAGAACGAAACCUUUCCUGGACCACACCUCGCGGAAGCUUAUGGAAUGGAUUCCUUUCCUCCCCCAACAAUACUGCAUCACUUGCUUCAACACGAGAGAUAUUGGUAGUAGUAAAGAAUUCUUUGUCCUUUAUUUGUUCCUUCAGAAGCGAGAUCUGGAUCAGGCUUUUAGGACCUAAGUGACGAGUGCCUUAUAUACAAGUUCAUCAGUCGUAUCAGUAUUAUCAGCAGUUUCAAGAGAUAUUCUUUGAUAACUCCACUUUGCUUUGAGGGCGAGAGAUAGAUGAUUUGAGUGCUAGUAACGUGUUCUAGGUUCCAUGCCCCUCGAAAAGCUCAACUAAUUCCAUUUAUAUUGGCCUUGAUGAAGUAUAGUAUCUUUGGGUGGGAGUUCAGUCCAGGACUUUAGCCAACACCAACUGAUUCUACUAGGGAUGAAACUAGAACCAUGAACUUUAGGACUGGACUACUACUACCUGGACUACAACUACUUGGACUCACAGCCGAUCACCUCCCACCGCCUUCUUGCCUUCAUUUGAGAAUUGUCCAUUUCAUCCCCCAAUGCAAAGGAAGCCAAAAGGAAUUGAUUCAGGGAGAAAUCGUCUGCUCACCUAUAUUUCAUAUUAGAGAAUUCUAGCUCAAUGAUUAUUUAUGCUUGUCCUCGGUUCUUCUUUGAUCGGUAACAUGGUUAGGUGGAUUCUUAGAUUGAUUUGAGGAGAUAAUCCUGAGUGAGAUUAGUAAUCAACUUACAAAAACUCUAAUUGGCCUAGAAUAGAAGCUCAUAAAAAAGUACUCUUCUAAACACAUCAUGGCUCUAGAUAGAAUGAAAUUGACUGAACUCCGUUAGAUGCUUUACUUCAGCAAAAGAGAAUGAAUUGACGAACUUUAAUGCUGAGAGUAGAAAGUAGAGUGCUCUUUCCCAUGUCCGGUUGAGGGAAUAGAGGGGCAGAAAAGGAGUCCCGCUCGGAUCAGCGUGGGCCGUGCCAUAUUCUUCCAUGGGACAUCAAAGGAUUUCCUUAUUCCUUUUGAAAAGAGUACCAAAGCAUUUGAACAUACAGAAUAGAGGCGCAGGGCGCCCCCCUAAAACAAUGAUUCAAAUCCAUCUUCUAUCUUCUAUAUAUAUGGAAUGGAAUUAUUGCAAAAGUGCUUCUUCUUCUCCUGAAUAAAAGAGCUUUACUCGUCGGACACUAUGGUGGUUUUUGGAUUAUCUCGUUCAUGGCAAUAAAGGUGCUAAAUAGGCUAGCUUACCUAGCUUUUAAACACUCUAAAGCUGACCUGACCUGUUUUUCUUAUCAUGUUAGUCUUGAUUCCCAUCCCAAGCGAAAGAGUCCCUUUCUUCUCCACAGGAAGCAGUAUUCCAUAAUCUAGUAGGUAGAGUUCAAAACCCACUUAAAUGGAGAAGGUAAGACCUCAGACUCAAGGUGAAUAGUAAUAUGGAACCCUUUGAAAAGGGAAAAACACGGCUUUCUUUAAAAGUCCAGCAAAUCUCUCAGCAGGAACUCUAGAUUGUCUUACUCACCCUAACUAUAGCCAAUGGAAGUAAGCUUCUCUUUCGAUCUUGCGCCUUUGCUUUCAACUCAAUGAAAAAGUACUUAGAGUCAAAAGGCUUUGAUUGUGAAAAUAUGUUUCAGUCAUACAUAAGAGAAUCAAUCCAAAUGUGUUAACUCUUCUUCUGCUCGCUGGACUCCUUCAUCAGGAGAUCCCUGUCUCUAACGGUAUAUAUAUCUAUAUCUAUUUCAUAACCUUGCUGUAGCUGCAUUGUGGUUUUUUGCGUCACUGGAAUAAAAGCCCUGUUCCUUGGCUCGGGAUAUGUGUCCCACGGGAGUUAAGCAAUACUCAUAAUGGAUUUCUUUCGGCAGGUAUAAUGGCUUAUUCCGUCUUCGUUAUCGCGUCUUUUCAACCGCAUUAUUAUCUAUUACGUAGCUGGGAAGGGUCUCUUGUCUUCUUCUCGACCAGAGAAUCUAUGACUGCCGGGAAGGGUCUCUUGUCUUCUUCUCGACCAGAGAAUCUAUUACGUGUUGCCGGGAAGGGUUUCUUGUCUUCUUCGGUGGAUCAAUUGGCCGAAUGUACGAUCGAACAAGAACAGCUUAUUGUUUUAACAGAUAGGGGAACAAACAACAGCAAUGGCUUUCAAAGUCAUUAAGGUGCGUAGCGGAGCUGAAAGCCAAAAACAAGGGCCAUAAUAAUCAGUUCCGCCAUGUUGUGAGUUUACGUUCUUCUCUGGUGGAUUACUCCAUUUUCUAUAUGGAUACAACAGGAUUAUCUAUUUCAUUCUUUCUCUUUUAUGGAUUACUAAAUUAUAUAUUGAUUGCAAGCUACAGUAGAAUCAGAAGCCAAAGAACCAACAAACUACUGAAAUUGCAACCUAAGCUAAGGAUACAGAAAGAGCAGGUGAGGAAUAAGAUGCUUGAUAAGGAUAAGCUGCAACAUAAGAUGUAGUUCGCGAAUCAUCUCAAGUGGAGUUCUGGUUUUCUCAUAUAUAGAAUAAUCUCUUUUCGAAUGCCUACAUAGUGGUUAAGCGGAAGAGUAUCCGGGAAGAGCCUAAAGCGUAAGUCCUGUUUUCGUUGAUUUUUCCCUUGCUCCGGACGGUACGGUACGGUUUACAGUUUACAGUAGGCGCGAAGAUGCUGUUUCAAGAUCAUAAGCCUUCUUAGGUAUUGCAUAUAUAACAAAGUGGUAAUAUUCCAUUCCUCCUCUUUUAUAGACUCCGUAGGCUCUGCACUCGAUAGAUUCCAUUCCCAUUAUGGAGUGAGAGUGAAGUCGACAAGUUCAGAAGCGAUAUAAGGAUCUUCAGCAGGUAAAGAAUAAGUAGUAUAAGCAACAUAAGCAGCCAUGCAGUAAUCAACUGGGCCUGGCCUGGACUCUCUUAAGAAUGAAUUUCCUCUUUCGUAUCGAGCACGUGACAUAGAUGGGAGUAAAGACUCUUUCUGACUCGAGACGAACAGCUUAUUCAGUUGUAGAUGUCGACUUAACAAGCACUAAUUUAGAUCUGUCUCUUGAAACGAGAACUCCACUUUCCAUUUUACCUCACACACAAACGGACUUUCCUAAAGCUAACUCUCCUAAAGCUAGAUAGAGAAGAUACCGCGUAGUUAUUUAUCUGUAUUCUGGUUUCUUUCCCUUACUUAUAUUAAAGCUGCUUGUAUUCUUAUUACCUUAACCCAGCUUUCACUUCAUCUUUUGAGUAUUUUAAGCCAUGUUCAACGACUCGAAUAGCUAAUCUAUCUAUCAUGGAAUACCCCGCCAGACUGUUCUAAGGCAUUUAUAGCCUAACAUCAUAACCAGUUUCCUUUCGGGUUCAGUUACGCUUACGUGAGCGGGCAUGAUACCCUGUCUUUUCACCCAACCUUGUAGUGGGCAUUCAUUCUAGGUAAAAUCCGUGGCGUCAGCAACAACAUAGAUAAGUAAUAAUUCCAGAAUCGAACAGUCUUAUGGGGAUCUUUCCUUAGGAACUUUUGGGUAGUCCUUACUAGACUAGACCGAUCUUUUCACUUGAGCUUAUUCGUAGGAGCCUGGAAUGUAUAUAGACGGCUCAAAAGAAGGAAGGUGUUCAAGCAGAAUCUUAAGCGAAUCAAGAUGUUAGCGACGGGAUAGGUUCUUAAAAUGGAGUUCUCUGCUUUAAGGAAAGCCCCAAGCAUAUACUAUACGCGGAAGUACACACCUGGACUUGCUCAUAACUUACUAACGCAAGUAAAGACUCGGCAUAUCCAAGUAACAUAGCACCUACUCUCCCUAUAGAUGAGUAAUGGGAUAUAGAUGAGUAAUGGGAAGCUCUCAAGAUGAACAAUGAAGCUCUUGAUUCUGAUCGAACAAAAAAAAGAGUCGUGACACCUGGCCUGGGGAAGAAUGGAAUGUCCAAGUUACUGAUUAUUUUGUAGAACUUGUUACAAAGGAAGCAAUGGGGGAAUUGCCUGAGGAAGUUGAAAAGAAAGAGGUAGAUGCCUUGAUAGAGGAGGGUUGCUAGGGGUUUGGAUUCCAAAUGAGAGAUAGACAGGCCACUCACCUCAGGAUACAUACUACGAUGCACAAUAAUCAGAUUCCUACCAAGAUGUGGAGAUAGAGCCAGAAGUAAGGCGCCUUUCAUCAAUUUCCAUUAUCAUUGACAGGUGCAGCUCUUACAUGCAUUGCUUACGCCAUAAAACCAUUCCGCUUCAAUCAGGGGCAUUUCUCAAAAGAUUAUUCUAUGGAUAUUGUUUCUAAGGGAACCACGGAAGAAUUAAUAUGCGGAAUGCGUUGAAUACAUCGGAAAUGGUAAGGAAGAAGAAGAGCUGUUAAGGAUAGAAAGGGACAAAGGGAAGAUGAAGUCAAUAAGCCUGAAGGAAACCCAAGAUUAAUUUCACGAAGUCUAUUCUUUAUGUUGAUAAAUUCUUGUUGAUAUAGCACAAGCCUUUCAAGUCCUUGCUUAUGUUGAAUUCGGAACACAUGGCUCCUUAUCCUGAAUGGAGGGAACAUGUCCCAGAUCACCCGCAAAAUCCCACACCUUUCCCCGAAGCUGCUAGUGCUUCAGUGGUUCCUGUAGCUCUAGUAGUCGCGGCGGAUGCUACUGGGACGGACUUCUACAAAAAUCCAUCAGUUCACAAGAAGAUAAGGAUCUAACGGGCUCUCCACACCAUUCCUAUCUUUUCCUUAUCCAUCUGCCAUCCCCUAUCAUAAAUAUAGGAUUGUGGAGAAUAACAGAAAAGAGAGAAAGCUCAUGCAGAAUCACAGGUAUUCAGUCAACUGUCAAAAAACGGGUUCCAUGCCUUUCCUGUAAAGCAAUAAUGACUAUUCCCAUCUAGUCCAACGGGAAGCUUACCUUUAAUAAAAGGAUACUAAUCACAACGGGAACUCUUGGCGUAAACUCAAACGGAAUCCAUUCUAUCCCUUAAUGUAAUGUUGCUACUAUUGCUGGAUGGUGAAGCAGAGAGUUUGAAAGCAGCUUGACUUUAUGUGACAAAGGAAGCUAAGCUCUCUUGAGUAACCUUUAGAGAGUUAAGAGAGGAUAAGCUAUGAGGCAAAGAAAGAAGAUGCCAAUUGUUUGUUAACUAUCUUAUUCAUUAAAUAGAUAAAGAAGGGCAAUUGAUGGCUAGGCCUUGUUUGAGAACGCAAUCCCUCAUAGCGGUUAAGGGAAAAAGACCAAUGCUCACAGAGUUGAAGUAGCUGUAGUGUUAGUAGUAGGUGUGAAAGAGUAGCCGUGACGAUUAGCAGUUGCACCAGUUAACCAGGUCAUCAGUGGAAGCGAGGAACCAAUGCUGUCCAAAAAGCAAUCAACUCUUAUUCUGGAAGAGCAUCAAAAGCAGCUCGAAUGUUAGUGAGAGGAGCGAAAGCCAGAAAGCAGCUCGAAUGUUAGUGAGAGGAGCGAAAGCCAGAGUCCAGACCCAUUGUAGCAGAACAGAUAUAACUUAUCCAUCUCUCCCAUCCCGGGAACUCUUGCAAGGAAAUUCUUGGAUGAGGCGGCCCCGUGCACUGUCUAGUUGUGAUUUUCGUAAUGCCAAGGGAAAGAAAAGCAAUGAACUCCUAUAAUAAGUAACUAACGCAAUGGUGAGCUAACACUACGGCAAGAGAAAGGAAAGGAUUCAGUAAGCAAAGCAGGAAACAGAGUACGCACACAGCAUUAACCUUCGUUUUUUGGGGGGUUACCGGUGAUGAAUAAAGAGUGUUUAAAUGGACGGAAGUUCAAAAGAGUCCUUACUAGUAGUUUGAAAAGGGUAAACGGUAAUCAUUAUAGUUUUCUUGUUUGAAAGAUACAAAUGGAAGGCAAAGAGGUCUUACUAUAUCUUACUCUUUCAGGGUUUACGUCUAGAGUAUAUAAAAAGGAUGAAAGGAGAGUUCCGAGCCGAGAUAAUACGGUUUUUUGAGUGGAAGUCCUCCGCUGACUCUCACUAUCUGACAGGGCUAAACGAGCUAAAUAAACAUUGACCCCGCUCCCUACGAGUUUACCCCUACUAACGAGCGAAUGCGGGUGCAGACGAGUCUACUUGCAGAAACCAUUGACUAGGAUAAGCCCUUGCCAUUUCAGUGCCAGUCCCCUUUUAGAGUAUAUUCAACCAAGUGUCCCCUCUUUAGAGUCCAAAAGUACUAUAUAUCUUGUGUCCCCGAACUUCAAAUCUACCUUAGAUAAGUCCCAAUCUGAACCCUUUCACAUAUCAAACCUUUAAGUUGAAGAAGUGCUCUCGGCACGUGGGGUACCCAUCUGAAUCUUAGGCAAGCUAUCAAUUGAACAAGCAAGUUUACAAAAAUGAGUCUUUCCCGCAUCCAGGACAUACCAGGCGGGAGGAAGGAAGAAGAAGUAUCGAAAGCGAGAGUAUUGAAAGCUCCUUUUUGCAAUCCUGUACUGAAUCACUAUGGACCCAGUCUUUGUAGAAGUCCCCACAGACUGAGGAGCUAGCAGUGCUCUUGCAAGUGGUUAUUAAUAUUAUUUACGUAAGUAGGAGACCCCCCGUUACGUAAGUAGGAGACCCCCCGUUUCAUCCUGUUCUUAUGCUUUCGAGCGGAGGUGUUUGACUUAUACCUUUACUUCUCCUAGCUAGCCAUUUUGUUCCACCUUUGAGUCACCCCGUAAUGUGGAUCCAACCGAGGUUACUUACUGAUCCAAACUAUCCCCUAAAUUCUAUUGAGAUAGAUUACCCUUUCAAACGAGCUAAUGGGCUAACGGAGCUAAAUAAAUGAAAACCUCUCUCGCCAGAAAGCAAUAAGCUUAAUACUUUCACCAAUAUGUUUCAAUCCAAUAUGCUGAUGGCGGAAUGUAAUAUGAAAACUUUCACGACGUUCGGGAGAAUUUCCUCUUUUCUUUGUAGUUCCGUUACAAGGUGGUCCAUUCGAGGCAAUAAAUAGGGCAAAUGGGUUUCUUUCUUUCUUUGGAAAGGCUAAGAAUUGAUAGUUUGCUUAAGCUAUUGGGAGUGAAAUGAACGUUAACCUCCAGCUCGUUCCUCUCCUAUUAAGUGUCGAGUACUUUACUGAUUCGGGUAUUGAGAAGGAGUUUCCGUUUCAAAGCGGAGCGCAUCUAGUUCUCUUUAUAAUUGUCAACGGGUUGCUUUCGAUGAUGUCGAUCCAACCAAUCCAGUUGCUCUAACUGAGUUUUUCUAGUUUCGCUUUAGUUUGUCAAAGUGGUGAAUUCUCCUUGCAGUGAGGAAGGACUAAGGCUGUGUAUAAGGCCGAGAGCUUGGACUAUUCCUACCCCGUGGGAAGGUUUGUAGGAUUUCUCCCAAUAGUUUGGUUUCUCCCCCUGUUCUGGUUCACCUGAUAGUCUACUCGUCUCAGUAGUUGUUCUACGAUAGCCAUAUUAAGUAUUGCAUAGUUUCCUUCUUGGUAUAAGGCGACAGAGGCGGGACUUAGUAGGUUGGGUCAAGUUAUAUUUCAAGCCUAAAAUGUGGCUAAAGGCACUAAUGGCUAGAUUGAUUUCCAUGUCUUAGCCGGGAAGGUCUCACUAGAUCACUUUUCCUUAGGUUUUAGUUGCAGUGAAUGGAGAUUUCUUCUUUUCCAAUUAUAGCCCUAGAAUGCCCCAGUUUCUUUUAGUGCAGUGAGAGUUGCCCUCCAUGAGAUGUCGUUCCUCAACAUAAUGCCUGAUCGGAUCAGACCUCGUUCAAUACGAUGGGGCGAGCAAGGA